Molecule: transfer RNA, 71 nt
Filed under: Ornatilinea apprima
Lineage: Bacteria; Bacillati; Chloroflexota; Anaerolineae; Anaerolineales; Anaerolineaceae
Rfam family: tRNA
About the family: Transfer RNA (tRNA) molecules are approximately 80 nucleotides in length. Their secondary structure includes four short double-helical elements and three loops (D, anti-codon, and T loops).
Source: Rfam by way of RNAcentral
GCGGUAAUGGUGAAACGGUAUCACACCUGGUUUCCAACCAGAGGUUCGGGGUUCAAGUCCCUGUUACCGCU